This 437-nucleotide ribosomal RNA is filed under the name uncultured bacterium. Its description in RNAcentral is "partial 16S ribosomal RNA". It matches the Rfam family "Bacterial small subunit ribosomal RNA", at positions 356 to 785 of the family's 1533-position model. The record is from RNAcentral.
AGGGAAUCUUCCACAAUGGACGCAAGUCUGAUGGAGCAACGCCGCGUGAGUGAAGAAGGUCUUCGGAUCGUAAAGCUCUGUUGUUGGUGAAGAAGGAUAGAGGCAGUAACUGGUCUUUAUUUGACGGUAAUCAACCAGAAAGUCACGGCUAACUACGUGCCAGCAGCCGCGGUAAUACGUAGGUGGCAAGCGUUGUCCGGAUUUAUUGGGCGUAAAGCGAGCGCAGGCGGAAUGAUAAGUCUGAUGUGAAAGCCCACGGCUCAACCGUGGAACUGCAUCGGAAACUGUCAUUCUUGAGUGCAGAAGAGGAGAGUGGAACUCCAUGUGUAGCGGUGGAAUGCGUAGAUAUAUGGAAGAACACCAGUGGCGAAGGCGGCUCUCUGGUCUGCAACUGACGCUGAGGCUCGAAAGCAUGGGUAGCGAACAGGAUUAGAUAC